UGCCAGGCUAGGUCGGGGGGUUGAACGUCCCCUAUAUGUUCUCGGACAUACCGAAAUCGUUCUAAGCGGAGACCGAAUGUCCGGAGGCGGCACAACCAGUAGGAUAUUAAUCCGUAGGAUUGCGAUGAGUUCUCGUCUCAUGUGGUUAAAGGUUGUUUCGGUGUUGCCGGAGGGCAAUUCCCGUUUCAUUCACCAUGGGUACCGGGUGAGGCCCGGAAGGGAGCAGCCUUACCGUGGACUCUUAACGCUCUUGAGGUAGCGGGGACGAGCUUGAUAACGGGUCAUUGAUGUCAGACCAGGAUGUCCACUCCGGUCGUGCCUGGUU
RNAcentral lists this signal recognition particle RNA (325 nucleotides) under Thermoplasmatota archaeon. RNAcentral's name for it is "Candidatus Thermoplasmatota archaeon signal recognition particle sRNA". It matches the Rfam family "Archaeal signal recognition particle RNA". Lineage: Archaea; Methanobacteriati; Thermoplasmatota. The record is from RNAcentral.